Eriocheir sinensis (Chinese mitten crab) is the source of this 602-nucleotide long non-coding RNA. RefSeq lists it as uncharacterized. The record is from RefSeq and is a predicted model, not a curated record. NCBI's taxonomy places the organism in Eukaryota, Metazoa, Arthropoda, Malacostraca, Decapoda, Varunidae. The transcript has 3 exons.
GUGUCCUUCAUAUUCAUUGCUUUCAUUUCUUUCCAUAUAUAUUUUUUGGUACAUUCCUAAGUCCAUAUUCUGUAGCAUUUCAGAGCUUAAACAACUAUAUUUUAUAAGGCUAUCAUGGAGGUUGUGUUAGUAUGUCCAUGGGUAGUGUUAUGAGCCUGGUGAUAGUUUGACAAGGCUUUGGUAGAGGCUGUGUUAGUAUGUCCAUGGGUAGUGUUAUGAGCCUGGUGAUAGUUUGACAAGGCUUUGGUAGAGGUUGUGUUAGUGUGUCCAUGGGUAGUGUUAUGAGCCUGGUGAUAGUUUGACAAGGCUUUGGUGGAGGUUGUGUUAGUGUGUCCUUGGGUAGUGUUAUGAGCCUGGUGAUAGUGUGACAAGGCUUUGGUGGAGGCUGUGUUAGUGUGUCCAUGGGUAGUGUUAUGAGCCUGGUGAUAGUUUGACAAGGCUUUGGUGGAGGCUGUGUUAGUAUGUCCAUGGGUAGUGUUAUGAGCCUGGUGAUAGUGUGACAAGGCUUUGGUGGAGGUUGUGUUAGUGUGUCCAUGGGUAGUGUUAUGAGCCUGGUGAUAGUUUGACAAGGCUUUAGUAGAGGCUGUGUUAGUGUGUCCAUG